GGGUUGUGAGGUUAAGCGACUAAGCGUACACGGUGGAUGCCCUGGCAGUCAGAGGCGAUGAAGGACGUGCUAAUCUGCGAUAAGCGUCGGUAAGGUGAUAUGAACCGUUAUAACCGGCGAUUUCCGAAUGGGGAAACCCAGUGUGUUUCGACACACUAUCAUUAACUGAAUCCAUAGGUUAAUGAGGCGAACCGGGGGAACUGAAACAUCUAAGUACCCCGAGGAAAAGAAAUCAACCGAGAUUCCCCCAGUAGCGGCGAGCGAACGGGGAGGAGCCCAGAGUCUGAAUCAGUGUGUGUGUUAGUGGAAGCGUCUGGAAAGGCGCGCGAUACAGGGUG
This 338-nucleotide ribosomal RNA is filed under the name Escherichia coli. RNAcentral's name for it is "partial 23S ribosomal RNA". It matches the Rfam family "Bacterial large subunit ribosomal RNA", at positions 1 to 366 of the family's 2925-position model. The record is from RNAcentral. Lineage: Bacteria; Pseudomonadati; Pseudomonadota; Gammaproteobacteria; Enterobacterales; Enterobacteriaceae.